GGGAACUGAGCACAAAGGAGUUUGCUGCAGGCAGCGAUCUGCAUCCUCUGCUUCCAUGUGUGGAAGAAAACAACCCUUUCCUGCUGUUUUUUUCCAUCUUUGCGUCUCCAUUGUGAUGUGAACCAAACAAAACCAAACCAAGGCAGGAAAACGUGGCUGAUAGAAAGGUUCAGUGCUCUGCCCUAAUGUGCUUCCUUUUCUGCACGCGGUGGCUGGGAGAAGCGGUGAACGCAGCGGUGGCAUUCUUGGAUGCCCCAAAGCAAAUCCCUGUCUGUGUUCUGGUAAGCCAGCAAAGCCUCUGGAAUACACCAAUGAAUGAGACCAGUUAAUAAUCCUGCUGAAAUCAGUGGGACAGCCUACAUCCAUAAAAACAUGCCUGAGCUGUGCCAGCUCCAGGUCCCUGUGGGAAAAGGCAGGCACAGCCAUGUUUGCCUUAUGGAAUUUUCCAGAUGUUUGGAAUCUCAGGAGUGUUUCUGCCUUAUUUUUUACUUAAGGUAUCAAUUAGUUGUUGUAUUCCACUGUGAAAAAGGGAAAAGGAAGCACAAGUGUUGGCCCUGAGCUAAACCGUGUUAUUUAGUCCAGAAAUUCCUCAGUAAAGCCUAUAAUCCCGAUUUCUGUUACAACCUGUGUGUAUUCCAGGGUGUGUACUUUACACAAGGGAGGAUGGGAGCAGGACCAGACUAGGGAAGACUAAUUUGUGCCUUGGUUUAGCUUGGGGUCUCCCUGGUGGAAGAUUUCCUGAUGUAGCAUCCUUCAUCCUGGUGCAAUUACACCUGGAUAAUCUCAUGUCUCCUUUUCUUCCUGCCACAAACCCAGCAGGAAUGUUUUGAUCCGUUCCUCAUUGGAGUUACCAGGGGCGUGGGGAGUCCCGUGGGCAGAGGGAUGGAUGGUUGGUACCCUGUCUUACAGCCGGAGGAGACGGGAUGUUCAUCCCACAGGACCGGCACAGCUACCUCUGCUCCCCAUCCUUCCAUUGAAGCAAGGACAAAGCCAGAGCUACGACUGUCCCACUGCCACCACAGCAGGACGGGGCUGAUUUGCUUUCAUUCAGGCAUCAGGAGCCUCAUUUCCAAACCCCAACAGAACAAGCGGGCCAAUCCAUGCCGCAUUCCCCAUAACCGGGUGUCAGAGCCGCUCUUCCGCAUCCCGCUAUCGGCACCCCUCUGCCCGGGGCACAGGGACCCGGUGAGUCAGGCGCGGUCACAGCGCUGGGCGGUGAUGUCCCACAGUAACUGUGCCCUGCGGAGCAGCCUCAGCACUCAGCUUUCCAAAGGGAAAAGCCGCUGUUCAGCGGGAAGAGCAUCGCGGCGGGUGUGAGUCACCGGGGCGGGAGGCUCCGGGGCAGGGAUCAGUGAGUGACGAGGAGCUGACCCACGAGGAACCUCGCUCCUUUGUUCCGACCCGGGAACCCCUCGUCAGCAGCAAGGACGGCAGCGCCGUGAGCUCAGAGCGCGUUGUCCUGGGAGGGCUGCAUUCCUGCCUGGAAGUUCAUGAGCAGUUCUCGUCAGGCAGCCUUGACAAGCACAUUUUUAGCCGGUUUUAUAAU
RNAcentral lists this long non-coding RNA (1546 nucleotides) under Amazona collaria (yellow-billed parrot). RNAcentral's name for it is "lncRNA (ENSACOG00000015054.1)". The record is from RNAcentral. Lineage: Eukaryota; Metazoa; Chordata; Aves; Psittaciformes; Psittacidae.